CGUGUUCUAAAAGCUUAUGUUGACAGCUGUCAUCAACGAAAGCUUCACCCAAUCCGCUGAUUUAACAGCUAAGCUUUGCGGAGCUAAGCUUUGAUUCUGUCAGCAUAAUUUAUCUAACUUUAUCGCAUGCGAUAAUAUCAUUCGCUGCUUGUAAUUAUUUUGUGUUCAGCUGCAACUCCCAGCGCCACUACACAUACGCCCACCUUUCCACACACGGCGUCUCCAUUUCCGCAAUCUCGGGUCCCGGCACUUUACAAAUUUCUUUGUAAGGUGGCCCUGGAGAGGCUGAGCUACCUCAGCCUUCGAAAAGACUACCUUACAAACAUCGUAUAAUCUGUUCAAUUAAGCCAAACCAUCAAACGGAAUAAACUAUGUAUAACUUUAAAUAAAUAAACCGUCAGUGUCCUUUCUUAAAAAGAGGACUCUGCAAUUUUUGGAGGCUGUCUCUAAUCGUAGAUCAACGUGCCAAAAGUUGGCUGAUUUGGAAGCACCAAUAAUGACAAUACUCUGCUCGGCGUGCCUUUACUAUCCUGAAACUCUUCGCAGAGAUCACUGGAAUUGACUUCAAGCUGAUUUCAAAUCUUAAGACAAUCUUGACAAUCUUAGGACAAUCUUGUCUCUCAAGUCAGUUGACUUUAAAUGUGGUCAAAUAUUAAACAUUUUGCUUUAAUACUGCGGAAUCUAUUGUUGACCUGUAUCCAUGGCUCCCGAUGACUGCCACCGUUCACAAAAUUCUUCACCAUUCAAAAUAAAUAAUUGAAAACACUGUUCUACCUGUGGGAUAUUUUGCAGAGUCGGAUCAACUUCAUCAUGCAAGGAAGAUCAGCCGAAAAGAAAAUUUCACGGACAUGUUCCACAGGUCUAUGGAUACCUCAGAUACGAUAAUUUCAUCUUUAAACCUCGUCAGGCGUAUACAAAUGCAACAAAAUAAGUCCCUACCAACUGAGGCUUUAAAUCUUUUAUCAAGCGAGUUUAAUAGUUCAGGAAGAGUUGAACAGGAUACAAUUAGUUUCGAUGAGCUGGCUGAAUAUCAGUUCGAAUUUGGAAGUAGGAACAUGGACCACGAAAACGAAUUCCAAGAGGAUUCUACACAGGUGUGAUAGAAAACAUAUUAUAUAUCGUCGCCUAGCAACAAAUUUGGAAAAAAGUAAAUGUAAAAACAAAUGUAAAAUUUAAAAUUUAAAAAAAACCGUUAAGGUACAGAUGUUCUACCGAGUACCGGGUAUAAAAGUUGUGACGCGUAUCACACGUUCCUUCUCGUUAUUUCUGUACCUGUAAGCAUAGACAUAUCCAUGGAUUUAUUAUCAUUUGAGGCUGAGAAUGUGGCAUCACUAUCGCCAUUGGGAUAUAGCCAUCACGGGCUUAUAUACCCGCGCGUAUAGGGACAAUAGGGAGCAGUUGUUCCCAACCAUUGAGGAAAUAAAUCCACCGGACAAUGUGCGCGCCGUCAACGUUCAAAAGAUGACACAAAUCCAGGCUGUAGUACGACGCAAGUUGGCCCUGGACGGAAUCCCAUUCAGCCUGACACGCACAUAAAUAGUGGAAGGCUGGAGGUGUAUGGACAAUCCCCUAAAAAAUAUUCUGGAGGUAUUCCGGAAAAUUAAUAUAAAUCAUCCUGACAUAUUGUCAAACACGUUGGCCUCUAUUCAAAUUUUCAGCUGGGUUCUGAGCAUGAUGGUGAGCUUGAUGGACCCCAGGGACUAGCACCUAAUCGAAAAUAAAAUCAAAUACUUUUUCCGACUUUACUAUUUAAUUCCUAUUACAGAGAAUAGAGACCCUCAUAUGCAUAUCCAGUCGAGAGUGUUUGUGAAGUAGGACUAAGAGACCUGCAGUACUUAGAAGUAGAAAUCUAAGGUUGUGCGGCAGCCUCUUUCCCCCCUUUUCGGGGAUUGUGUGAGUAGAGCGUGUGAAUACAUAUACAGACACAUAUUAACGCGCUGAUUUUUUAUUCAUUAUUCAUUUACCAUAUCAUUGGGUGAUAAUUUCAAAGAUAUUGCAGAUUAAUAUUAUAAUUUACUAUGUCGUCCGCUAAUAAAAAAGACAACAGCAAAACAAGUAGGAGAUGCAUUAUUUCUUCCUGUCUUUGUGGUUAUAGAAAGAGUUCGUCCGAUUUCCCUGUGAGGCUAUUUUCAUUUCCAAAAGAUCCAUUUUUAUUAUAAAAUGGAUUGAGGCUUGUAAUGUAGAAAGAAGGAUUGUAAAAAAAUGUUCACCCGUUUCUGAAAGGCAUUUUGAGGCUGGGUGGUUAGGAAGCCUUCAACUAAAACCGAAUGCAAUUUCAACAUUAAACUUAUCUGAAAAUUCAUUAUUAACUCCAACGCAGAAUGUCCAAUAGGACAUUUUGAGAGGACCAAAAAAUUAGCUUGGCUGAUGUGCCAGUGCCAUUUUCAAACGAUGUAGAGCAACUUUGCGUAAAAGAAGCGCCUGAAGCUACAUUUCAAAAUAAUGAAUCGGUUGAUAUUGAGUUUUGUGAGAACUGCUUAAAAAAGGGGAAAAACUAGGCAUAUUGGCUGAUCAACGAAAAAAAUAGGUAGGCUUUUAAAAAUCGAAGAAGCAGUUUGUGGCCUUAAAAAGAGUUUUGUCUCGCAAGAACAGGCGUCUCAGAAGUAGAAAGCCUAACUCAAAAUCAAGUAUUAUUCCUAUAAUUGCCAAGCUGUCUCAUGUUUCUGCGGAAGCAAAAACUCAUAGACUUAAGCCACUGCCACUACCUUAAACUGUUUUCCGUAUAACUUUUUUGAACAUAGUUCAUAUUAUGUCCCUAAUAUGUCACAAAUUGAUCUAUCUGGCCAUACUGUGUGUCAGUUUUGCCUGCCUCUGAUUUAAGUAUUAGGCCCUGCUGUGUUCCCCAAGCUUUGCAUGCCUCAGCUGUUCUGUUUCCUAGUCAUUCAGUUUUUUAUUUUUUGAUUAAUCUCGAGCACAGUAAUAACUCUAAAAAAUAAAAUUAUUUUCAAUACGGCUAAUUUUAUUGUGUGAAAAAAAAGCGCUGGAACAAACAGAUACUGAUAGGAACUAGAAACCAGAGAUUGAACGCCAAGUACAGGUAACAGGAGGCAGCCGUUAUUAUUCAAGAGAGACAAGAAGCAAGAGGACAUACGACAAGUGGCCGAUGUUGUGCAUCGGUCCGGGCGUAUCCAAAACCGAAAUUUAGAAAGAUUAGAAAAUAUAGUAAACGCACAUAUUACACAACAGCAGCAAAUGGCGAAUACUAUUAGUCGGUCGAGGCGGAGAUGCAACCAAAGGUAUAGGGCCAGAGAGCAUGCAUUAUAUCACUUCUUUCACCAACACGCUCAUUUGAGCAGCCACUUCUUAGAGCCGAUACAGCACGAGGCAUGUGGUUGAUCAAAAGACAGAAGGAGCAUGCACUAUAUCACUUCUUUCUCCGACUUGAGCAGCCACUUCUCAGAGCCGAUACAGCACGAGGCAUGUGGUUGAUCAAAAGACAGAAGGAGGCAUGUGGUUGAUCAAAAGAAAGAAGGAGGCAUGUGGUUGACCAAAAGACAGAAGGAGGCCGAGUGGUUGACCAAGAAACAUGCAUUUAUCACUUCUCACUAGUUUUGCCAAUUAAGCAGUGUGACCGCAAAAUUAUCGACAAAAUAUACCGUAAGGGCGUCGAAAAUAUACCGAAAUAUACUUUUUAUUGUUAAAAUAUGCC
Molecule: long non-coding RNA, 3649 nt
Filed under: Drosophila guanche
Lineage: Eukaryota; Metazoa; Arthropoda; Insecta; Diptera; Drosophilidae
Source: RNAcentral